RNAcentral lists this long non-coding RNA (1451 nucleotides) under Anser cygnoides (Swan goose). Its description in RNAcentral is "lncRNA (ENSACDG00005014947.1)". The record is from RNAcentral. Lineage: Eukaryota; Metazoa; Chordata; Aves; Anseriformes; Anatidae.
GCCUGCCUGGGGGCUCCCCCAGUUCUGCCCCCCCCCGGUGCCAUCGCCCCCCCCCCGUGCUGCUGGGGGCCGCGCAUCUCCCCCGGGGUGCGGGGGGGCACUGCCCUCGGCACGUCCCCUGCCCGGGAGGGGGGUCUGGGGACAGCCGCGCUCUCCCACCAUCCAUUUUGGGGAGCGCCAUCCAUUUUGGCAGCUUCCCUCUCCCCAUCCCCCUGGGGGACCGGAGCGGGUGAAAUCCUCCCGUCCCCGAGCGCGGGGCGAGAAGCUCGGUCCCCGGGGUGGGUGGGCGCAGAAGGGGGGGAGCAGCCCUGCCCCGCGUCGCGUCUCCUCCUGGGGCAGCCCUCCACCACCACCCGUGUUCUCAUCGCUUCUUUUGUGAUAAUCUCUGGCUCCUUCCGUCGCGUGCGGCCGUGCGGAGGUGAGGCGGGCUGCGGGCUUUCUGCGGGGCCUCUGUUGUCUCCUACCUUUGUAAAGUCCGUGACCGCUCCGGGGAGCGAGCGUCACGUGAAGCCAGCUCUCGGCGAGACCCUUUGUUUUGCCCGAGGUCUUCCUACAGCUGACUCUGCUCUGGCUUUUUUGCAGAGCCCCGUUCCCGUCCAGGGAAGGCAGCCUCCCCUGGCUUCCUCAGCAUGUGACCCUCUACCGUUCCUAGGGCUCUGGGAUUUGAACGGGUUGCGCGAUCGCCUUCCUUUGCAUUUAUUUCCCCCCCCCCCCCCCCUCCCUGAAGAUUUAGUGUUUACAGUAGGUCUUGUGUAUGGAGGCUGGGGCUGCAAAAAGCUUGCAGUUUUAUAGUCUUCCUAGUGUCUUCUCGUUGCGCCAAAUACCUCCCUAGGCUGCGAGCUUGGCUCGUACCGUAAGUUAAACAGGGCUGGGCCUGUUCGGGGCUUGGAUGGAAACCCGUGUGGCUGCCUCAGCAGGGGGUGCUCUCCCCUCUGCAGCCAAACGAUCCCGGUGCCCAGGUUCCCGUUAGCUCGGGAGGUGCCAGCUUUUCAGAUGAGGCUUGAAAUUUGGAGUCACUCCUUUGACCGCAGUCUGGGAUGCUCUGCCUCCCGAAAUUCCUCCUGACCCAGCGGAGAGCCGGAGCGCUCGACAGCUUCCCCGUUCUCUCCAGGCCAGUAGAAGCCCUCAGCCCUCGUUUUCCAUAAAUUUCCUCUGCAGUAUCAGUUGUCGGCUGAUGGCUUCCUGUCCCUCAGCUGUUGAGCAGCGUUGGGUGCUACGAAACAGCUGCCUCUCCCCGGCGCGGAGGGGACCGAGUUUCAUUGGUGGGAGCAGCAAAUUCUCCGUGCGUGCUGUUUGUAAACAAAUGCCUUGGGAUCCUUUGAAAUGUUGUUCUUGAAGGGAAUUCAAACUUGUCUUGAAUGAAACAUUGCCAUGUGGGUGGGAGAGUGUCUGCAUAACUAUAAACAAAGUUUGGUAAUAAAUAGCAGCGUCUCGAGCUGCGAAGAGGGGUC